This 667-nucleotide ribosomal RNA is filed under the name uncultured bacterium. Its description in RNAcentral is "bacterial SSU rRNA". It matches the Rfam family "Bacterial small subunit ribosomal RNA", at positions 12 to 658 of the family's 1533-position model. The record is from RNAcentral.
UUUGAUCCUGGCUCAGAACGAACGUUAGCGGCGCGCCUAACACAUGCAAGUCGCACGAGAAAGGGCUUCCGCCCCGGUACAGUGGCGCACGGGUGAGUAACACGUGGGUAAUCUGCCUUCGAGCGGGGGAUAAUCUUCCGAAAGGAGUGCUAAUACCGCAUAAGACCACCCCUCCGAAAGGAGAAGCGGUCAAAGCUGGCCUCUAUAUAUAAGCUAGCACUCGAUGAUGAGCCCGCGGAGCAUCAGCUAGUUGGUGAGGUAAUGGCUCACCAAGGCUUAGACGCUUAGCUGGUCUGAGAGGAUGAUCAGCCACACUGGAACUGAGACACGGUCCAGACUCCUACGGGAGGCAGCAGUGGGGAAUCUUGCGCAAUGGGCGAAAGCCUGACGCAGCGACGCCGCGUGAGUGAUGAAGGCCUUCGGGUUGUAAAGCUCUGUGGAGAGAGAAGAAUAAGUGCGGGCUAAUACUCCGCAUGAUGACGGUAUCUCCUUAGCAAGCACCGGCUAUCUCUGUGCCAGCAGCCGCGGUAAGACAGAGGGUGCAAACGUUGUUCGGAAUUACUGGGCGUAAAGCGAGUGUAGGCGGUUUGAUAAGUCAGAUGUGAAAGCCCCGGGCCUCACCCCGGGAAGUGCACUCGAUACUGUCGAGCUAGAGUAUCGGAGAGGU